This 253-nucleotide ribosomal RNA is filed under the name uncultured Pelagibacterales bacterium. Its description in RNAcentral is "partial 16S ribosomal RNA". It matches the Rfam family "Bacterial small subunit ribosomal RNA", at positions 524 to 776 of the family's 1533-position model. Lineage: Bacteria; Pseudomonadati; Pseudomonadota; Alphaproteobacteria; Candidatus Pelagibacterales. The record is from RNAcentral.
UACGAAGGGACCUAGCGUAGUUCGGAAUUACUGGGCUUAAAGAGUUCGUAGGUGGUUGAAAAAGUUGGUGGUGAAAUCCCAGAGCUUAACUCUGGAACUGCCAUCAAAACUUUUCAGCUAGAGUUUGAUAGAGGAAAGCAGAAUUUCUAGUGUAGAGGUGAAAUUCGUAGAUAUUAGAAAGAAUACCAAUUGCGAAGGCAGCUUUCUGGAUCAUUACUGACGCUGAGGAACGAAAGCAUGGGUAGCGAAGAGG